This 1323-nucleotide long non-coding RNA is filed under the name Vigna radiata. RNAcentral's name for it is "long non-coding RNA (VRAD_LNC016218)". The record is from RNAcentral. Lineage: Eukaryota; Viridiplantae; Streptophyta; Magnoliopsida; Fabales; Fabaceae.
UUUUAAGGGUGAAAGCUUGGCUUGGCUAGAAGAAUCAUGAUUUUUCUAGGAUUCAAAGACACCUAAGAAGAGAACAUAAGUAUAUGUUUCAACUCUUAAUCAUCAUCACAAUCCCAAUUUAUUCAUCAUCAUUUCCUACCAUAUUCUUUCUGGUUACAACCUUCAAUUCUUCAAAUCAUGUACCCUUUUCAUCAAAUAAUUUUUUUUUUAUAUUGAACAUUUUUCUUCCCCCAAACUUUAACUCAAUCAUACCUUCACUCAAAACAUAAUACUCAUUCUCUUCUAAAGUGUAAGGUAGGAUAUCAUCUAAUUGGCUCAUGGUGGAAGAAAAAAUUUUCAAGGCUCAAAAGGGUUCACAAUGGUAUCAUAUAUAACGUAUGAAGGUUGGCUAUUUGGCCAGUAGCUAUACAAUUUAACAAGAACAAUGUCUUUCUCAUCCUUAACCAAAAGUGUGUAUGUAGAAUCACAAUCAUGCAAAAAUCAAUUCCAUAUCCAAACAAAUUUAUCAUCUCAUCUGUUUCACUCAUUCAUGCUCUCAAACACUCCACAGUAUCUGGUCUUAGUUCAACUCAUGCACAAGAUCACAGUUUAAGCACAUUGCACCACAAUCAUACAUGUUCUCAUCUUUAAAAAUCAUACCAAUUAAUCAAAACACACAUCAUUCAUUAAAUCAAAAUGUCAUUGUCUUCACAACACAAACAUAAACAACUAAACAACGUUCCACAAUAUAACAUCUGAACUGAAAAACAAAUAACAAAAAAAAAAAUUGAAACAACGGGAGAGUCUGUCCAUCUAAUCUGGAUCUCCACUCGCUCUCAUAUGUGUUGUGACUCUGUUGUGUGCAUCUGGGAUUGGGCUCUUCAUCAUCCUCAUCAUCAUCAUCCUCCGCAUAGGCACUCCCCCACCUGGACUGAGGUCUGCCUGCAGGCCGUAAUAGGGGUUCGCAAACUCAUAAGAGAAUAUUUGUCGAUCAUAGUUUAAACAAGGUUUUCUUCCUAUGCUGUAGCAGGAUGUGCUCUUGAAAAAGAUCUUGUGAUGGUUAUAGGAGAAGUCAUCUACACAAGAUUCGCUAAACACACCGAAACAGUACGCUAAGCGAAAUUACAGUUAGUUUUUUUUUUUUUAAGGGAAGUUGGCUAAGCGUAGCAAGUGUGCGUUGUGCUACUAACCCCUUUUUUUUAGUUUUUUCUUUUUUUAGUUUUUUUUUGUUUUUCUUUUAGUUUUUUUUUUUUUUGAAUUCAAAACAUUAGCUUAGGGCAACAAUGGGUUGUGCGCUAUGCUACUGUACUUUUUAAACUUUUUUUUUUAUUUUUAAUUUUUUUU